RNAcentral lists this ribosomal RNA (253 nucleotides) under uncultured bacterium. RNAcentral's name for it is "partial 16S ribosomal RNA". It matches the Rfam family "Bacterial small subunit ribosomal RNA", at positions 524 to 776 of the family's 1533-position model. The record is from RNAcentral.
UACGUAGGGUGCAAGCGUUAAUCGGAAUUACUGGGCGUAAAGCGUGCGCAGGCGGUUAUGUAAGACAGGUGUGAAAUCCCCGGGCUUAACCUGGGAACUGCAUUUGUGACUGCAUAGCUAGAGUACGGUAGAGGGGGAUGGAAUUCCGCGUGUAGCAGUGAAAUGCGUAGAUAUCUGGAGGAAUACCGGUGGCGAAGGCGGCAUCCUGGACCAUUACUGACGCUGAGGCGCGAAAGCUAGGGGAGCAAACGGG